This 481-nucleotide ribosomal RNA is filed under the name uncultured bacterium. RNAcentral's name for it is "partial 16S ribosomal RNA". It matches the Rfam family "Bacterial small subunit ribosomal RNA", at positions 28 to 507 of the family's 1533-position model. The record is from RNAcentral.
GAUGGACGCUGGCGGCGUGCUUAACACAUGCAAGUCGAACGAAGCACUUUAUUUGAUUUCCUUCGGGACUGAUUAUUUUGUGACUGAGUGGCGGACGGGUGAGUAACGCGUGGGUAACCUGCCUUGUACAGGGGGAUAACAGUUGGAAACGGCUGCUAAUACCGCAUAAGCGCACAGCAUCGCAUGAUGCAGUGUGAAAAACUCCGGUGGUGUAAGAUGGACCCGCGUUGGAUUAGCUAGUUGGUGAGGUAACGGCCCACCAAGGCGACGAUCCAUAGCCGACCUGAGAGGGUGACCGGCCACAUUGGGACUGAGACACGGCCCAAACUCCUACGGGAGGCAGCAGUGGGGAAUAUUGCACAAUGGGCGAAAGCCUGAUGCAGCGACGCCGCGUGAGCGAAGAAGUAUUUCGGUAUGUAAAGCUCUAUCAGCAGGGAAGAUAAUGACGGUACCUGACUAAGAAGCACCGGCUAAAUACGUG